RNAcentral lists this ribosomal RNA (198 nucleotides) under endophyte bacterium EMA134. Its description in RNAcentral is "partial 16S ribosomal RNA". It matches the Rfam family "Bacterial small subunit ribosomal RNA", at positions 1280 to 1474 of the family's 1533-position model. The record is from RNAcentral.
AAGCNGUNUCAGUUCGGAUCGCACUCUNCAACUCGAGUGCGUGAAGUUGGAAUCGCUAGUAAUCGCGGAUCAGCACGCCGCGGUGAAUACGUUCCCGGGCCUUGUACACACCGCCCGUCACACCAUGGGAGUUGGCUUUACCCGAAGGUGGUGCGCUAACCUCGCAAGAGGAGGCAGCCAACCACGGUAAGUCAGCGA